UAGAGGAGAUCCAGCGGAUCAUAGAGAGACUGUUGAGGGACCAACAGUCCAAGAUCGACCUGGUGCCAGACAGCAGGACUGUACAUACUCUGCCCAGUGACGUUGAUCAACAGACAGACCCAUUCUUUGGAGUGGUGGAUUAUGAUCUGCCUAGCCCGAGUUCAUAUUUUCAGUUGUCUCAGGUGUUCUCCGCAGAGUCUCCAGAACCUGCUGGAUUCACGCUCAGCGACGGCUUUACUGCGCCUCCAGAAUCCAUCACUCUGAGAGAGCAAGAGCCACUCAUAAUCUCUCA
Molecule: long non-coding RNA, 292 nt
Organism: Clupea harengus (Atlantic herring)
Lineage: Eukaryota; Metazoa; Chordata; Actinopteri; Clupeiformes; Clupeidae
Exons: 4
Source: RefSeq, a predicted model, not a curated record